GACAGAGGGUGCAAACGUUGUUCGGAAUUACUGGGCGUAAAGCGCGUGUAGGCUGCUUCGCAAGUCGGAUGUGAAAGCCCUGGGCUCAACCCAGGAAGUGCAUUCGAAACUGCAGAGCUGGAGUCCUGGAGAGGAAGGCGGAAUUCUCGGUGUAGAGGUGAAAUUCGUAGAUAUCGAGAGGAACACCGGUGGCGAAGGCGGCCUUCUGGACAGUGACUGACGCUGAGGCGCGAAAGCUAGGGGAGCAAACGGG
RNAcentral lists this ribosomal RNA (253 nucleotides) under uncultured bacterium. RNAcentral's name for it is "partial 16S ribosomal RNA". It matches the Rfam family "Bacterial small subunit ribosomal RNA", at positions 524 to 776 of the family's 1533-position model. The record is from RNAcentral.